RNAcentral lists this ribosomal RNA (496 nucleotides) under uncultured bacterium. RNAcentral describes it as "partial 16S ribosomal RNA". It matches the Rfam family "Bacterial small subunit ribosomal RNA", at positions 29 to 507 of the family's 1533-position model. The record is from RNAcentral.
AUGAACGCUGGCGGCGUGCCUCAUCCCUGCAAGUCGCGCGAACAGACGAGGAGCUUGCUCCUCUGACGUUAGCGGCGGACGGGUGAGUAACACGUGGAUAACCUACCUAUAAGACUGGGAUAACUUCGGGAAACCGGAGCUAAUACCGGAUAAUAUAUUGAACCGCAUGGUUCAAUAGUGAAAGACGGUUUUGCUGUCACUUAUAGAUGGAUCCGCGCCGCAUUAGCUAGUUGGUAAGGUAACGGCUUACCAAGGCAACGAUGCGUAGCCGACCUGAGAGGGUGAUCGGCCACACUGGAACUGAGACACGGUCCAGACUCCUACGGGAGGCAGCAGUAGGGAAUCUUCCGCAAUGGGCGAAAGCUUGACGGAGCAACGCCGCGUGAGUGAUGAAGGUCUUCGGAUCGUAAAACUCUGUUAUUAGGGAAGAACAAAUGUGUAAGUAACUAUGCACGUCUUGACGGUACCUAAUCAGAAAGCCACGGCUAACUACGUG